This is a long non-coding RNA of Bombina bombina (fire-bellied toad), 976 nucleotides long. RefSeq lists it as uncharacterized. The transcript is spliced from 2 exons. Lineage: Eukaryota; Metazoa; Chordata; Amphibia; Anura; Bombinatoridae. The record is from RefSeq and is a predicted model, not a curated record.
AGGACUUCAAGCAAAGCAAAACAACGAGUGAGGAGGAAGAGCACUCCUGUCACAGCUGAUUGCUGAAGCAGUUAAGGUUGCCACCAGGACAAUGCUCCAUACCAUGCAGCCAGAUCAAUCAAGGUGUGGAUGGAGGACCAGCAGAUCAAUACCCUGUCAUAGCCAGACCAAUUUCCAGAUAGGAAUUCAAUUGAAAACCUCUGGAAUGUGAUAAAGAGGAAGAUGGAUGGUCACAAGCCAUCAAACAAAGCCAAGCUGCGGGAAUUUUUGCACCAGGUGUAGCAUAAAGUCACCCAACAGCAAUGUGAAAUAUGGGUGGAGAACGUGCCAAGAUACAUGAAUGCUAUGAUUGAAAAUCAGGGUUAUUCCACAAAUAUUGAGUUAGAACAUUAGUAUUGUGUUGUUUAAAAAUGAAUAUGAACUUGUUUUCUUUGCAUUAUUCAAGCUCUUAAAACAUUGCAACUUUUUUGUUGUUUUGAAAAGUUGUCAUUUUCUGCAAAUAAAUGCUCUAAAUGACAAUAUUUGUAUAUGGAAUUUGGUAGUAGUUUAUAGAAUACAACAAAAAUGUUCAUGUUAUUGAAACACAUACCUAUAAAUAGUAAAACCAGAGAAACAUAAUUUUGCAUUUGUCUCUUAUUUUUUUUCCAGAGCUGUAUAAUAUUAGCCUCAACUGUUUAGUGACCUUUACACAGCUGUGCCAUUAUAGCUAAGUUAAAGUAAAAAAAUCAGAAGUUGUCUGGCAUACUUUAUAUAUCUAAGAGAAUUUACAAGUCUGUGGAGCACAGAAACCUUAUUAAAGUUUAUAACAGAGAACAUAUUAAAGAGACAAUUUAAAAUAAAAGACACACUUUAAAAUCAAAAUUUUGUAACUAAACGGACAAUUGCUGUAUUCUGUUAAUCUUAACCACAUUUUACUGGCCAUGUAUGAUAUUGUUUAACUUUAAUUUCCUAAUAAAGCUUCUUUUCAUUUUUUCAA